Molecule: unclassified non-coding RNA, 253 nt
Filed under: uncultured Alphaproteobacteria bacterium
Lineage: Bacteria; Pseudomonadati; Pseudomonadota; Alphaproteobacteria
Description: contains 16S-23S intergenic spacer region
Rfam family: Bacterial small subunit ribosomal RNA
Source: RNAcentral
UACGAAGGGGGCUAGCGUUAUUCGGAAUCACUGGGCGUAAAGCGCACGUAGGCGGACUGUUAAGUCAGGGGUGAAAUCCCGGGGCUCAACCUCGGAACUGCCUUCGAUACUGGGAGUCUUGAGGCUGAUAGAGGUGAGUGGAAUUCCGAGUGGAGAGGUGAAAUUCGUAGAUAUUCGGAAGAACACCAGUGGCGAAGGCGGCUCACUGGCUCAGUACUGACGCUGAGGUGCGAAAGUGUGGGGAGCAAACAGG